RNAcentral lists this ribosomal RNA (281 nucleotides) under Methylobacterium sp. DV18. RNAcentral's name for it is "partial 16S ribosomal RNA". It matches the Rfam family "Bacterial small subunit ribosomal RNA", at positions 46 to 353 of the family's 1533-position model. Lineage: Bacteria; Pseudomonadati; Pseudomonadota; Alphaproteobacteria; Hyphomicrobiales; Methylobacteriaceae. The record is from RNAcentral.
AGGCUUAACACAUGCAAGUCGAGCGGGCCCUUCGGGGUCAGCGGCGGACGGGUGAGUAACGCGUGGGAACGUGCCUUCUGGUUCGGAAUAACCCUGGGAAACUAGGGCUAAUACCGGAUACGCCCUUAUGGGGAAAGGUUUACUGCCGGAAGAUCGGCCCGCGUCUGAUUAGCUAGUUGGUGGGGUAACGGCCUACCAAGGCGACGAUCAGUAGCUGGUCUGAGAGGAUGAUCAGCCACACUGGGACUGAGACACGGCCCAGACUCCUACGGGAGGCAGCA